Molecule: ribosomal RNA, 742 nt
Filed under: uncultured bacterium
Lineage: Bacteria
Description: bacterial SSU rRNA
Rfam family: Bacterial small subunit ribosomal RNA
Source: RNAcentral
AGAGUUUGAUCAUGGCUCAGAGCGAACGCUGGCGGCAGGCCUAACACAUGCAAGUCGAACGAACUCUUCGGAGUUAGUGGCGGACGGGUGAGUAACACGUGGGAACGUGCCUUUAGGUUCGGAAUAACUCAGGGAAACUUGUGCUAAUACCGAAUGUGCCCUUCGGGGGAAAGAUUUAUCGCCUUUAGAGCGGCCCGCGUCUGAUUAGCUAGUUGGUGAGGUAAAGGCUCACCAAGGCGACGAUCAGUAGCUGGUCUGAGAGGAUGAUCAGCCACAUUGGGACUGAGACACGGCCCAAACUCCUACGGGAGGCAGCAGUGGGGAAUCUUGCGCAAUGGGCGAAAGCCUGACGCAGCCAUGCCGCGUGAAUGAUGAAGGUCUUAGGAUUGUAAAAUUCUUUCACCGGGGACGAUAAUGACGGUACCCGGAGAAGAAGCCCCGGCUAACUUCGUGCCAGCAGCCGCGGUAAUACGAAGGGGGCUAGCGUUGCUCGGAAUUACUGGGCGUAAAGGGAGCGUAGGCGGACAUUUAAGUCAGGGGUGAAAUCCCGGGGCUCAACCUCGGAAUUGCCUUUGAUACUGGGUGUCUUGAGUAUGAGAGAGGUGUGUGGAACUCCGAGUGUAGAGGUGAAAUUCGUAGAUAUUCGGAAGAACACCAGUGGCGAAGGCGACACACUGGCUCAUUACUGACGCUGAGGCUCGAAAGCGUGGGGAGCAAACAGGAUUAGAUACCCUGGUAGUCC